GUGCACGCUGGCGGUAGGCCUAACACAUGCAAGUCGAACGGCAGCACCGUAAGAGCUUGCUCUUACGGGUGGCGAGUGGCGGACGGGUGAGGAAUACAUCGGAAUCUACUUUUUCGUGGGGGAUAACGUAGGGAAACUUACGCUAAUACCGCAUACGACCUACGGGUGAAAGCAGGGGAUCUUAGGACCUUGCGCGGUUGAAUGAGCCGAUGUCGGAUUAGCUAGUUGGCGGGGUAAAGGCCCACCAAGGCGACGAUCCGUAGCUGGUCUGAGAGGAUGAUCAGCCACACUGGAACUGAGACACGGUCCAGACUCCUACGGGAGGCAGCAGUGGGGAAUAUUGGACAAUGGGCGCAAGCCUGAUCCAGCCAUACCGCGUGGGUGAAGAAGGCCUUCGGGUUGUAAAGCCCUUUUGUUGGGAAAGAAAAGCAGCAGGUUAAUACCCCGCUGUUCUGACGGUACCCAAAGAAUAAGCACCGGCUAACUUCGUG
This 491-nucleotide ribosomal RNA is filed under the name uncultured bacterium. Its description in RNAcentral is "partial 16S ribosomal RNA". It matches the Rfam family "Bacterial small subunit ribosomal RNA", at positions 29 to 507 of the family's 1533-position model. The record is from RNAcentral.